UUCGCAAUGCCCGAAAGGGUGACGAAGCGACGCCGCGUGCGGGAAGAAGGCCUUCGGGUUGUAAACCGCUGUCGGGAGUUAAGAAAUGUAAGGAUGUUAAUAGCAUCUUUGCUUGACUAAGGCUCCGGAGGAAGCCACGGCUAACUCUGUGCCAGCAGCCGCGGUAAUACAGAGGCGGCAAGCGUUGUUCGGAAUUAUUGGGCGUAAAGAGCACGUAGGCGGCUAUGUAAGUCGGUUGUGAAAGCCUUCCGCUCAACGGGAGAACAGCAUCCGAUACUGCAUGGCUUGAGUGCGGGAGGGGGGAGUGGAACUUCUGGUGGAGCGGUGAAAUGCGUAGAUAUCAGAAGGAACGCCGGCGGCGAAAGCGGCUCUCUGGCCCAUAACUGACGCUGAGUGUGCGAAAGCUAGGGGAGCAAACGGGAUUAGAUACCCCGGUAGUCCUAGCCGUAAACGAUGGGCACUAAGUAGAGGGGUUUU
RNAcentral lists this ribosomal RNA (477 nucleotides) under Candidatus Brocadia fulgida. Its description in RNAcentral is "bacterial SSU rRNA". It matches the Rfam family "Bacterial small subunit ribosomal RNA", at positions 365 to 832 of the family's 1533-position model. The record is from RNAcentral. Lineage: Bacteria; Pseudomonadati; Planctomycetota; Candidatus Brocadiia; Candidatus Brocadiales; Candidatus Brocadiaceae.